RNAcentral lists this ribosomal RNA (717 nucleotides) under Cantharellus cibarius (golden chanterelle). RNAcentral's name for it is "eukaryotic LSU rRNA". It matches the Rfam family "Eukaryotic large subunit ribosomal RNA", at positions 178 to 919 of the family's 3401-position model. The record is from RNAcentral. RNAcentral also lists the same sequence under 2 other names. Lineage: Eukaryota; Fungi; Basidiomycota; Agaricomycetes; Cantharellales; Hydnaceae.
ACAAUAGGCCGUCAGUGGGACAUCAUAGAGGGUGACAAUCCCGUCCUUGACGCUAAUGUGCAAGUCUAUUACGAUGGCUAUCUCAGAGAGUCGAGCAGUUUGGGAUUUGCUGCUUAAACAUGGGAGGUAGAUUCCUUCUAAAGCUAAAUACAGGCGAGAGACCGAUAGAGAACAAGUACCGCAAGGGAAAGAUGAAAUAGCACUCUGUGAAGGGAGUCAAAAGGCGUGAAAUUGUUGCGAGAGAAGCGAUUCAAGUCAGCGUAGCUAGGCCCAUCAAGCGUCUUCGCUUUGGACUAGCUUUGCCAGCGGUCUUGUCCCUUAAAGAGACUUGACUUGUAAUAUGUCCAGCCUGGCGUGCACAGGCAGCCCCUUCUGGGGGCCAGUGGCAUGGCUGGUGGAAUGGCUUGCAAUCGACCCGUCUUGAAACACGGACCAAGGAGUCUAACAUGUAUGCGAGUAUAAGGGUGGCAAACCCGUAUGCGCAAUGAAAGUGAUUUUCGGUGAUUGAGAAUGGCCUGAUGACCAGACAAGCAAUACAUGUCCCUCGUACGGCCAUUGCCCAAGUUCCGUGGUAGAUCCCACGAACAUGGAGUUGGAGCAUACAUGCUAGGACCCGAAAGAUGGUGAACUAUGCCUGGACAAAGCGAAGCCAAAGGAAACUCUGGUGGAGGCUUGUAGCGAUUCUGACGUGCAAAUCGAUCGUCUGAUCUGGGUAUA